AAAUUGAAGAGUUUGAUCAUGGCUCAGAUUGAACGCUGGCGGCAGGCCUAACACAUGCAAGUCGAACGGUAACAGGAAACAGCUUGCUGUUUCGCUGACGAGUGGCGGACGGGUGAGUAAUAUCUGGGAAACUGCCUGAUGGAGGGGGAUAACUACUGGAAACGGUAGCUAAUACCGCAUAACGUCGCAAGACCAAAGAGGGGGACCUUCGGGCCUCUUGCCAUCGGAUGUGCCCAGAUGGGAUUAGCUAGUAGGUGGGGUAACGGCUCACC
This 272-nucleotide ribosomal RNA is filed under the name Escherichia coli. RNAcentral describes it as "partial 16S ribosomal RNA". It matches the Rfam family "Bacterial small subunit ribosomal RNA", at positions 1 to 269 of the family's 1533-position model. RNAcentral also lists the same sequence under 1 other name. The record is from RNAcentral. Lineage: Bacteria; Pseudomonadati; Pseudomonadota; Gammaproteobacteria; Enterobacterales; Enterobacteriaceae.